GUCCCCGUGGCACAGCUGGAUAGCGCGGCUCCCUCCUAAGGAGCAGGUCGCCCGUUCGAAUCGGGCCGGGGACGCCA
Molecule: transfer RNA, 77 nt
Filed under: Gammaproteobacteria bacterium
Lineage: Bacteria; Pseudomonadati; Pseudomonadota; Gammaproteobacteria
Description: tRNA-Arg
Rfam family: tRNA
About the family: Transfer RNA (tRNA) molecules are approximately 80 nucleotides in length. Their secondary structure includes four short double-helical elements and three loops (D, anti-codon, and T loops).
Source: RNAcentral